GCCACAAAUACCAAGGUAUCAAAAAUAUAAACAAAAUAGACAGCAUCAGCACAAAGAAACUUGCACGUAUUGUCCUAGUUAGUAAUCACACGCGUGUUGUCGACGAAGAGGACUGUGAGUUUAUCUGUAAAAUGUUCGGGCUCUUCGAAACAGAGUUCAAAUCCAGACGUCCAUGUCAUUGCUGCGCUCCUUGAUACAUGCGGGCGGUCUGGCUUGCUUAAGAAGGUAGACUCUGUUUCUCAAAAGAUGGAAGAGACUCCUCCUUGUGAACCUAAUUCUGCGACCUAAUGGCUGUGUUUGGACGAGCCAGACAGUGAGAGAGAAUUGAUGCAUUGUUCAGCGAAGUCGAGGAGGUGGUCUUCAUUUUAUUUGGACCUACGUUCAACGUUCUUAUUGAUGCUUAUGGAAAUGUAUGUCUUCGGUGCAAGACGGAAGGGGCAAAAGGAUGUUAAGAUCUUGGAGCAGAUCUUGGAGCAGAUGCAACUCGCAGGAUGUAAACUGGACGUGAUAGCCAACAGCUUUCUCCUAGAUGUGUACGGCACGAGUUGAACGAUGAGCAAGAUCAAAGCCACUUUGCAGGCGCAAGUUGAAUUUAGGUUGGUGGAUCACUGCAAGUGAUCGUCUACAGUGUGGUGCAUUGCUCUCCUAUAGUUAUUUAAUCGUUGCUCUUACUUGAACAAGUCUUUCAGGACAUGCCAGUGCUGCCCGGUGCUUGAGGGAAAGUGGAGCUGAUCCAAGCUCUGAAACUAUUGUAAUCCUGCUCUGCACUUUGCGCUCUUGCCGAUUCCGCUAGGACUUUUCAGCAAUUUUGCGUUAUAUCCGAAUAUGUGAAGAACUUUGGAGUCAUUGUAUGGAUACCAGGGGAAAGGACAGACAGUUAUAGCGAAAGACCUUUUUAAGGUGAAGCUGCGGUUCUAUUUGAUGCAUAGCAAUCUGUGAAAGCUGCAUCACGACUGGUUCUGUAUGAUUCUUUGUGAUGAGAUAUCUGUGGCGAUUCGAUCAAAUGAUGAGCUGUAGAUGCUGAAAACAUUGGAGACAUGGCAGCAGAUGGUCAACGUAAAGUUAUUCGCAUGAGUUAUGGUGAUGGCAAUUGCUUCAAAAUCACUUCAUCAUUAUGUUAUCUUAGUGGUGAGGUCACGAGGUUAGGAAUUUUUAUUUAUCCUCGUGGAAAAGCGAACAGAAUAAGUGCAGAUUGUAUUGAGACGCUGAGACAUCACUAACUGCACCAAAAUGUGCAUAUUUACUCAGUCAUGGCAUGAUGAUUUCCACAAAUAGUAUAAGCCCACUGUUAGUUGCGUCAGCAAAUAAAGUGUUAUCGUUUAUUACAA
Molecule: non-coding RNA, 1328 nt
Organism: Physcomitrium patens
Lineage: Eukaryota; Viridiplantae; Streptophyta; Bryopsida; Funariales; Funariaceae
Source: RefSeq, a predicted model, not a curated record